RNAcentral lists this ribosomal RNA (465 nucleotides) under uncultured bacterium. RNAcentral describes it as "partial 16S ribosomal RNA". It matches the Rfam family "Bacterial small subunit ribosomal RNA", at positions 28 to 507 of the family's 1533-position model. The record is from RNAcentral.
GACGAACGCUGGCGGCGUGCUUAACACAUGCAAGUCGAACGGAAAGGCCCUGCUUGCAGGGUACUCGAGUGGCGAACGGGUGAGUAACACGUGGGUGAUCUGCCCUGCACUUCGGGAUAAGCUUGGGAAACUGGGUCUAAUACCGGAUAGGAGCCAUCUUUAGUGUGGUGGUUGGAAAGUUUUUUCGGUGUAGGAUGAGCUCGCGGCCUAUCAGCUUGUUGGUGGGGUAAUGGCCUACCAAGGCGGCGACGGGUAGCCGGCCUGAGAGGGUGUACGGCCACAUUGGGACUGAGAUACGGCCCAGACUCCUACGGGAGGCAGCAGUGGGGAAUAUUGCACAAUGGGCGCAAGCCUGAUGCAGCGACGCCGCGUGGGGGAUGAAGGCCUUCGGGUUGUAAACUCCUUUCGCUAGGGACGAAGCUUUUUGCGACGGUACCUAGAUAAGAAGCACCGGCUAACUACGUG